This 484-nucleotide ribosomal RNA is filed under the name uncultured bacterium. RNAcentral's name for it is "partial 16S ribosomal RNA". It matches the Rfam family "Bacterial small subunit ribosomal RNA", at positions 30 to 507 of the family's 1533-position model. The record is from RNAcentral.
AUUGAACGCUCGCGGCAGGCCUAACACAUGCAAGUCGAGCGGAUGAAGGGAGCUUGCUCCUGGAUUCAGCGGCGGACGGGUGAGUAAUGCCUAGGAAUCUGCCUGGUAGUGGGGGAUAACGUCCGGAAACGGGCGCUAAUACCGCAUACGUCCUGAGGGAGAAAGUGGGGGAUCUUCGGACCUCACGCUAUCAGAUGAGCCUAGGUCGGAUUAGCUAGUUGGUGGGGUAAAGGCCUACCAAGGCGACGAUCCGUAACUGGUCUGAGAGGAUGAUCAGUCACACUGGAACUGGGACACGUUCCAGACUCCUACGGGAGGCAGCAGUGGGGAAUAUUGGACAAUGGGCGAAAGCCUGAUCCAGCCAUGCCGCGUGUGUGAAGAAGGUCUUCGGAUUGUAAAGCACUUUAAGUUGGGAGGAAGGGCAGUAAGUUAAUACCUUGCUGUUUUGACGUUACCAACAGAAUAAGCACCGGCUAACUUCGUG